Molecule: non-coding RNA, 21 nt
Filed under: Caenorhabditis elegans
Lineage: Eukaryota; Metazoa; Nematoda; Chromadorea; Rhabditida; Rhabditidae
Source: RNAcentral
UCUUUACGAAGUUUCUAAAUU